AUUGAACGCUGGCGGCAGGCCUAACACAUGCAAGUCGAGCGGAUGAAGGGAGCUUGCUCCUGGAUUCAGCGGCGGACGGGUGAGUAAUGCCUAGGAAUCUGCCUGGUAGUGGGGGAUAACGUCCGGAAACGGGCGCUAAUACCGCAUACGUCCUGAGGGAGAAAGUGGGGGAUCUUCGGACCUCACGCUAUCAGAUGAGCCUAGGUCGGAUUAGCUAGUUGGUGGGGUAAAGGCCUACCAAGGCGACGAUCCGUAACUGGUCUGAGAGGAUGAUCAGUCACACGGGAACUGAAACCGGGUCCAGCCUCCUCCGGGAGGCAGCAGGGGGGAUUUUUGGACAAGGGGCGAAAGCCUGACCCAGCCAUGCGGGGUGGGUGAAGAAGGUCUUCGGAUUGUAAAGCACUUUAAUUUGGGAGAAAGGGCAGUAAGUUAAUACCUUGCUGUUUUGACGUUACCAAAAGAAUAAGCACCGGCUAACUUCGUG
RNAcentral lists this ribosomal RNA (484 nucleotides) under uncultured bacterium. RNAcentral's name for it is "partial 16S ribosomal RNA". It matches the Rfam family "Bacterial small subunit ribosomal RNA", at positions 30 to 507 of the family's 1533-position model. The record is from RNAcentral.